Molecule: ribosomal RNA, 682 nt
Filed under: Candidatus Liberibacter asiaticus
Lineage: Bacteria; Pseudomonadati; Pseudomonadota; Alphaproteobacteria; Hyphomicrobiales; Rhizobiaceae
Description: bacterial LSU rRNA
Rfam family: Bacterial large subunit ribosomal RNA
Source: RNAcentral
UGACGGCGUACCUUUUGUAUAAUGGGUCAACGACUUAGUGUGACAAGCGAGCUUAAGCCGGUAGGUGUAGGCGUAGCGAAAGCGAGUCUGAAUAGGGCGUCUAGUUUGUUGCAUUAGACCCGAAACCGAGUGAUCUAGCCAUGAGCAGGUUGAAGGUUGGGUAACACCAAUUGGAGGACCGAACCCGUAUCUGUUGCAAUAGAUUGGGAUGACUUGUGGCUAGGGGUGAAAGGCCAAUCAAACUCGGAGAUAGCUGGUUCUCCGCGAAAUCUAUUUAGGUAGAGCAUUAACUGAAUACCCUCGGAGGUAGAGCACUGGAUAGGCUAUGGGGGCUUACCGCCUUACUGCUCCUAACCAAACUCCGAAUACCGAGGAGUACUAGUUGGCAGACACACAGUGGGUGCUAACGUCCAUUGUGGAGAGGGCAACAACCCUGACCUCCAUCUAAGGUCCCGAAGUCAUGGCUAAGUGGGAAAGGAUGUGAAGAUCCCAAAACAACCAGGAUGUUGGCUUAGAAGCAGCCAUCAUUUAAAGAAAGCGUAACAGCUCACUGGUCUAGAUAAGGAUUUUUGCGCCGAAAAUGUAACGGGGCUAAAGCCAUGCACCGAAGAUGAGGAUUUGUUUAUUUUUAAACGAGUGGUAGCGGAGCGUUCCGUAAGCUGAUGAAGGAGGACUUGUGAGA